AGAAAAUCAAAUCUAAUUUGGAAGGUAGCUUCUCGGUUUUUCCCUUUUUCUUCGCUUUCUCCUUAUUCUUCUCUAUUUGGGUGAGCCAAUCGGCUUUCUGGGGUUUGCAUGUAAGGUUGAAGGUAACUCCGAUGAAGGGACCAUGUUGGUUAUCCGUUUCCGGUCCCGAGGAGGUCGGUCAAAGCCUCCAAUCCAAUCUGUCAAAACAAAAAAUGGAUCAUGAUUAUUGUUUUUCUUUGUUAUUUUUGGUGUAUUUUAUGUUUCUUAAUCUUUACUUGAAAUUUGAGAUUUCAUAGGAUAAAUUUCUUUUAGAUUAUGUUAGAUUAUAUUUUAGACUUUUUUUUUUCUUUCUAAUUUAGAUCUAAGGAUUCAAAUAGGUUGGAAUUUUAUUUUUCUAAUUUAAUAUUAG
This 409-nucleotide long non-coding RNA is filed under the name Gossypium raimondii (Peruvian cotton). RNAcentral's name for it is "long non-coding RNA (GRAI_LNC000321)". The record is from RNAcentral. Lineage: Eukaryota; Viridiplantae; Streptophyta; Magnoliopsida; Malvales; Malvaceae.